GAUGAACGCUGGCGGCGUGCCUAAUACAUGCAAGUCGAGCGCAGAGACGUGGUGCUUGUACCUUUUACAUGAGCGGCGGACGGGUGAGUAACACGUGGGUAACCUGCCUUUAAGCGGGGGACAACUUUGGGAAACGAAUGCUAAUACCGCAUAAUAUCUUUAAACACAUGUUUUAAUAUUGAAAGAUGCAUUUGCUACACCCAAUGAUUAUCCCUCCUUGUAUUAGCUAGGUUGGUAAGGAAAGGCCCACCCAGGCCAAGGUACAUAACCCAACGGGGAGGGUGAUAGGCCACAUGGGGACUGAGACCCGGCCCAAACUCCUACGGGAGGCAGCAGUAGGGAAUCUUCGGCAAUGGACGAAAGUCUGACCGAGCAACGCCGCGUGAGUGAAGAAGGUUUUCGGAUAGUAAAACUCUGUUGGUAGAGAAGAACGUUGGUGAGAGUGGAAAGCUCAUCAAGUGACGGUAACUACCCAGAAAGGGACGGCUAACUACGUG
This 497-nucleotide ribosomal RNA is filed under the name uncultured bacterium. Its description in RNAcentral is "partial 16S ribosomal RNA". It matches the Rfam family "Bacterial small subunit ribosomal RNA", at positions 28 to 507 of the family's 1533-position model. The record is from RNAcentral.